RNAcentral lists this ribosomal RNA (506 nucleotides) under uncultured bacterium. RNAcentral describes it as "partial 16S ribosomal RNA". It matches the Rfam family "Bacterial small subunit ribosomal RNA", at positions 28 to 523 of the family's 1533-position model. The record is from RNAcentral.
GAUGAACGCUAGCUACAGGCUUAACACAUGCAAGUCGAGGGGUAACGAGAGGAAAGCUUGCUUUCCUUGUCGACGACCGGCGCACGGGUGAGUAACGCGUAUCCAACCUGCCCCCAACUAGGGAAUAACCUUGCGAAAGUAAGACUAAUACCCUAUAAUUUCCUCAGAUGCCAUCUGACGAGGAAUAAAGAUUUAUCGGUUUUGGAUGGGGAUGCGUUUGAUUAGCUUGUUGGCGGGGUAACGGCCCACCAAGGCAACGAUCAGUAGGGGUUCUGAGAGGAAGGUCCCCCACAUUGGAACUGAGACACGGUCCAAACUCCUACGGGAGGCAGCAGUGAGGAAUAUUGGUCAAUGGGCGGAAGCCUGAACCAGCCAAGUAGCGUGCAGGAUGACGGCCCUAUGGGUUGUAAACUGCUUUUAUACAGGAAUAAAGUUAGCCACGUGUGGUUAUUUGUAGGUACUGUAUGAAUAAGGACCGGCUAAUUCCGUGCCAGCCGCCGCGGUAA